AAAUGAACACAACUAACACUAUAAAGCAAUUAUACACCAAUAAAAUUAUUUUUCAAUUAAAAAAAAAAAGAAUGAUCUGAUCAUGGGCACCCACGGCUCUCAUUUUCCAAGCCAGUCCUUUCUCCCUUCUCUCAGGCCUGCCCCAGCCCUGAGCCCUCCUGGCCCAGCGGUUCACUCCUCUCCCUGGGCUCUGAGAUCGACCUCCCCAUCCAGCUUCUGCAUCCCAUCUGCUGACGAGCUUCUCCCGUCCCCCCCGCGGUCCUAUGGCCAGUCUCUCUCACAGCCUCUGUGCCCGAGGAUGCCCUUGCUCUAAGUCCCCUAAACCCCUGGCACCAGAGAACCAAGCACAAGCCUAGAAUUCUCCAGCAGGCUUCCAGGGUUCGCCAUCAACCCGGGGUCAGUGGUGACGGCGGGCAAACCCAGCAGGGCCCUUCUUGCCCUGCAAGGGACCCAGGUACCUGGGGAGGGGCGCCCAGCAGGGGCCUAACCUGCCGGCACUUUGCACAACCUCAUCUCAUCUUUCCCAUUUUCCUGCCCUCUGCAUGAUUCCAACUCGGGCUUUAAUUUUCUCAAAUGAUACAAUUUGGUGGUUUGGGGUUUCUGCAGGAGAAUUUCUGUGAUCCUCAGAGUACCAGGGCCUGUUUGCUCUUGUUAGAGAAGAGGGACUGUGGACGCUCUGCAGACCCCGUCAGGCUGUGGUAAUAACCAGGGGCUGCUGGAGCGGCAAAGCAUAAACCUGGUCCUUCUUAGUGAGACUUCGCAGAAAUCCCACUGGAGAUUUUUCGGCCCCUGCCCUGUCUACUUUCCUUCAUCAUGAUAAAUGACUGAAAAGAAAACUAUCUAAUCUCCAAACUGCUCACUUUUUUUUUUUCUUCCCCCAACUCUUUUCUUCAAGGAGAGAUGGGAGCACACAGUCACAUAAAACAGAGUCCUUCAUCGCCUGCUUCUCAGGAGACGGUUCUUUCCCUUUUCAUCCGGGCCUGUUUCUGAUCUCUGAUGGGCUCGCCCUGAAAGCUCCGGCGGGGCCCUCUCUAAUCAGCUGCGACAGACGCGGCUGUGGCUCGGGUUGCCCAUCGAAAUUGAAUUGAUUGCCCGGCCCCUUUGCCGUUUUGUUCUGCACACAAUUGCUUAAUAGCUGUCACCUUGGCUUUCAGUCGCAGCCGGCUUUGGGGCUGACUGGUUCCCAUUACUCAGGAUGGCCAGUGCAAGUUCAUCACCUUUACAGGAUGUCCGUGAUUGAUUCCGUAUGCCUUGGAGACCUGUAAUGUAUUUGCAUAGGAGGGCGGGGGGCGGACCCAAUAGAGAUCUCUAGGCCUCGGGAACUGCCAGGUUUUGCUGGGGGCCAUAUUUGAAUCAUUACCAGGGCUUCUUGUCACGAGUCUGGCCUCUGCUGACAUCUCUGCUAAUGAAUUUGUAAAUUAAAAAAAACUUUGCUGUUGCCACCUGCCGCCUGCAGGGCACCGCUGCAGCAGCCACUUUUCAUGUGGCAGGUUUCUGGCCUGAUGAUGUAUGACCUGUUGGCGCUACUGAAUGGUGCCCUUUGUUCCAGGGGAUCCCAUGUGCCCCCUUUUUAUUGACUUGUUGAUUCAAAGGGGCAGGAAAGUUCCACAAAUCCCACUGCAGGCCCUGUUCUAGCCCUGCCCAGGUGGGGAAGUCCACGGACCUCAUGCUUCCCAGAAAAGCUGGUAGGAAGCUGCGGGCUGCCUAAAGACAAAAUCUCUCUUAAGAAGCGGCUUUCUUUACCUCAAACUCAGGCAACUGUGUGUCUGGAGAGAGCCUGGGAACACACAUCAAGCUCCCAGCCCUCUAGAAGGUGUGGAGUAUUCCAGAAUGCCAUCUGCACCCAGAAAGAAAAGAGCAGAGCAGGUGUAUGUUAGGAAGAGCCCCCACUUCCCUGUCCUCUGGGCCAAGUUCAGUUAAGUUUUUCUCUGUGACCAACAAGGUGGGUGUGUAUGUGUGCAUUCAGUCAUGUCCAACUCUUUGCGACCCUAUGGAUUGUAGCCCGCCAGGCUCCUCUGUCCAUGGGAUUCUUUAGGCAAGAAUACUGGAGUGGUUUGCCAUUUCCUCCUCCAGGGAACCUUCCCAAUCCAGGGAAUGAACCUGUAUCUCCUGCAUUAACCAGUGGAUCCUUUACCACUGAGCCAUCUGGGAAGACAGCAGCAAAAAUGAAGAAGGAGCGUGGCUUCCUUCUGCAGGGAGAAGUCCUGCCAGAGAACAAUCCCAGGGCCACAGGAGAGGACUCUGGGGAAAUAGGAGACAAGGUUGAUGUCUACCCAGCAGGAAAUUUCAUCUUAAUCCUCCUGAGGACAAGGAUUUACAGGGUACCCCUUACCCUUGUCUUCUCUUCCCUGGCUCCCUCCUGGAGAUGGUGGGUGACAGUGAGCAGUUUUGGAAAAGGAGCCAGGAAGGAUAGGGAGCCAAAGAGGUGAGGAGUUGUUAGGAGGGAGACCCAAUACACCUUCGGACAUCAGUUUCUCUUCUCAUUUAGGACUGUGAACCUGGACUGGAUUUUGUCUCCUUUUUUUAACCCCAUCUUAAGACCAAACUUCAAGGAUUUGGCAGAGGACUGGACAAAUGGCGGUCUCUGCCAAGCCUCAAUUCCUCCUCUAGGGGGUGAGGUGCAGGGGGUUGAUGGGCACACACAUUGACUGUUGU
Bubalus bubalis (water buffalo) is the source of this 2655-nucleotide long non-coding RNA. RefSeq lists it as uncharacterized. The record is from RefSeq and is a predicted model, not a curated record. The transcript is spliced from 2 exons. Lineage: Eukaryota; Metazoa; Chordata; Mammalia; Artiodactyla; Bovidae.